This 74-nucleotide transfer RNA is filed under the name Anguilla anguilla (European eel). RNAcentral describes it as "tRNA-OTHER". The record is from RNAcentral. Lineage: Eukaryota; Metazoa; Chordata; Actinopteri; Anguilliformes; Anguillidae.
GGCGGUGUGGUAUAGUGGGUAAGGAACUGGUCUUGUAACCUAAAGGUCACGGGUUCGAUUCCCGGUAAUGGACG